AAUUCCCUGCGGUGUUCGCCAAGGCUCUACAUUCCUUGAACCAAUACGCAUUUGCAUCGGUCGCCGCCCAUUGACGCCGCUGUUGUGAGCGCCCCUCGUCGGGUGCACCUGAAGCGGCAGGAACGUGACCCAUCUGAACCCAGGUUCAGGAUGCCGGCCAAACGGCACGCGCGGGGAACCC
This 181-nucleotide non-coding RNA is filed under the name Rhodocyclaceae bacterium. Its description in RNAcentral is "6S RNA". It matches the Rfam family "6S / SsrS RNA". Rfam says of the family: E. coli 6S RNA was the first non coding RNA to be sequenced, but its function was unknown until recently. It consists of 184 nucleotides that fold into an extended hairpin structure with a large single-stranded internal bulge. Lineage: Bacteria; Pseudomonadati; Pseudomonadota; Betaproteobacteria; Rhodocyclales; Rhodocyclaceae. The record is from RNAcentral.